This 10034-nucleotide long non-coding RNA is filed under the name Gossypium barbadense (sea-island cotton). Its description in RNAcentral is "long non-coding RNA (GBAR_LNC016845)". The record is from RNAcentral. Lineage: Eukaryota; Viridiplantae; Streptophyta; Magnoliopsida; Malvales; Malvaceae.
CGACACAACCAAUCCAUUUCAAUAUAUUUUCAAGAUAGAUUUAUAAUAUUCAUAAGAUAAUCUCAUCACAUACCAAAACCAAAGUUUGUUAUCCAUACCAAUGGCUAACCAUACAUUCAUUUCAUAUUAACAUCUACUUUACUAACUUAUACAUGCCAUUGAUUUCCAAAAUAAAGUUUCUUUAUAUACCGAGAUCUUGAGGUUGAUAGUGUGAUGCAUCUCCGACCAAAUCCGACCUCUGAGCUCUUAACACUACAAAAUAGGGAAAAAGGAAAUAGGGUAAGCACUUUGUGCUUAGUAAGCUCAUGUAACAAGAAUUUUACUUACCUAAUAUUUUCAAUACAAUGCAAUAAACAUUCAUACAUCCAUUCAAUACAUUAUUCCCCUAUCAUGCUCAAACUCAACAUUCAAAUUAGUUCAAUAAAUUCCAUGUAUCAAUAAUAUAUAUACCAUGAUUGAUGAGCUCAUCAAUACCAUGAUUUCCAUUCCCUUGUUAUUUUUCCAUAUUUAUCCCGUUGAACUACUUGGAAUUUCGAUGGAUUUUCAGAGGUACACUGUAGUGUACAAAUCCUGAUCCGUCAAUUCAUAUUCAUGUGCGCACAUUUCCAUUUCAGAUAGCACACUCCCGCGAACCUCAUCCUUACAGCGGGAUUACCAGUCCAAGCUAAAUCCCCUGUAAUAUAAACUCAUAGAGUAUUGUCGGGAUUACCAGUCCAGGCUAAAUCCCCUGCAACGACAAUUACUCUAAUGAGCUUGGAUCUGAAUUACCAGUCCAGGCUAAAUUCAGACCCUAAUUCGGAUUACCCGUCCGGGCUAAAUCCAUUUUCCACAUAUUCUUUGGGAGGGCUAUAUCAAGAUAGGAUCACCCGUCCGGGCUAGAUCCUUUUUACCGUCAAUUCCUUUUCAGAGAUCCAUCGAAUUUUCCUUUCAUUCAACCGGGAUUUAUUUCCUCUUUUCAUCAAGAAUAUCAAUACUUCAUCAAUUAUCAUACAAUAAACAUCCAACUCAUUUUCACAUCAAUAACAAACAUUUCAAGCAUUUAAGAAUAUAAUUCAAGUUACACGAACUUACCUCGACACUUGUUCGUAACCAAAAAUCUACUAAUCCCAAACUUUUUCUUUUCCUCGAUCUUGCUUCGUAUUUGAAUUUUCCGGAUCCAAAUAAAUAAAUUUAAUCAUUAAUAUAAUACAUUUCAUGUUCAUAUGUAACAUUCUCUAUAAUUCCAUUAUUAUAUGUAAUGCAUUCAAAGCUGUCUCACUGAGUCACAGUCACUAAAUUAUUUAUAUCUUGAGCUACGGAACUCCAAAUUAAGAUCCGUAAAUUUUUCCUGAAACUAGACUCACAUAUAUUUUUACCAUAAAAUUUCAGAAUUUUUGGUUUAGCCAAAAAGUACAGUUUAUUCUUUAAAAUUUCCCCUGUUUCAUUGUUUGACAGUUCCGACCCCUCUUCACUAAAAAUUAAUUAUCUCAUUGUACAGAAUUUGGAUGAUGUUUCCGUUUAUUUCUUAUGAAAAUAGACUCAUUAAGGAUUCUAACCAUAUAAAUUAAAACUCAUAAUCAUUUUUCUACAAUUUUUAAUGAUUUUCCAAAGUCAGAACAGGGGAACCCGAAUUCAUUCUGACCUUAUCUCACAAAAUCUAUUAUAUCUCAUGAUUUACAAUUCCAUUGAUUAAACCGUUUCUUCUAUAAGAAACUAGACUCAAUAAGAUUUAAUUCCAUAUUUUUUUCAUCUUCUAAUUCGAUUUCUACAAUUUUUAGUGAAUUUUCAAAGUUAACCUACUGCUGCUGUCCAAACUGUUUUAGUGCAGGGUGUUAAUUACGAUUUUUCCCCUAAGCUUUCAAUAAAUGCUAAUUUCAUCCCUGCUCAAUUAACCUAUCAAUUGAGCUGAAUUUUCUCAAUUAACACCGUAUCCCAUCACUUUAAACUACUUCAUAAGCUUUGGAAAUCAGAAUUUCAGUACUAGACUUUAAUUCUAAACUUUUUCACAAUUAGGUCCUACAAAUCAAUUUCUAUUGAAAUUACCUAAUAAAAUCAUCUCAUAAAUGGAUUAAAGCUUCAAUUUCAUCCUAUUUCAUCAUAAAAUUCCAGCACAUAUUCAUAUCAACUUUCAAAUUCAUUCAUAAAAUCAAAAACUAAUGAAUUUAGUAAUAGGACCUAGUUGUAAAAGUCUUAGAAACACAAAAAUUACAAGAAAAAGGCAAGGAUUAACUCACUUGGUGCAAAAAUUAUGAAAAACCAGCUUGGAGAAACCCUUAGGACCUUUUUGGCUGAUGGGAAUGCAGAAAACUAAAGAGAAUUCUAGAUAAUGCCAAUUUAGUCCUAACUUUUAAAACAAAUUUUGCAAUAUUCCAAUUUUACCCUUAAUUCUUCAAUUCUCCUGAUUUUUCUCAGCGUAUGCCGCCCAAAAUAUCUCCUUUUGGGGUUAUUUUCAAUUUAUGUCCCUCCUCAUUUAACAAUUGAGCUAUUUAAUCCUUUUAGUAACUUUUACACCUUUUUCAAUUUAGUCCUUUUUGCUUAAUUGACUACCCAAACAUUAAAAUUUUCUAACGAAAUUUUAAUACCAUAUUACUAACACUUCCUAAAUAUUUAUAAAAAUAUUUUUGACUCGGUUUUACGAGAUUGAGGUCUCGAUACCUUAUUUUUACCCAAUUUCUUCUCUAAUUUCUUUUUUUCUAACUAAUCACUAAAUCGGUAAAAUUUUUCUAUCGAUAUUUUCAUACUAUUUUCCUAUCAUACCAAUAUUCAUGCAAAAAUAUUAAAAUAAAUUUCUCUUUAGAUCGGAUUUGUGGUUACAAAACCACUAUUCCGAUAACCUUGAAUUUGGGCCAUUACAACAUGAAUAAAAUUAUUUUAUCCAUUAAAAAAUGGAUGAAUUUGGAUUUUGAUAAAACUGUAUUUGAAAAAGAAAAUACCGUGGAGGAACAGAUUCUCAUGUGGAGGACCCAUCAUACAUUUCAUUUUCAUAUCUCAAUUUAAUAUCUCAUUUCGAUGCAUAUUCAAGAUCAUUCAAUAAAAUUUAUAUUAUCAAAUUAUUCAUUUACCCGUAUUAACUUGAGUCGGACUUUGGCGGAUGCACGGAUCCAACCAAACAUACCAAAAUGGCACCCAGUGCCUCAUCGGAUAGUUCGACGCAAUAAAGUGACACCCAGUGUCUCAUCGGCCAAGCCGAAGUAAGUUGGUACCCAGUACCUCAUCGAAUCUAUCCGAAGUAACAGUAUGACACCCAGUGUCUCAUCAACUCAAGGUCGAAGUAUCCCUGAACUCUUCCAAUCCUAUGGCAUGCCAACUAUAUCCGACUCAGCCCGACUAAUUAAUAGGGUAUUCAAAUCAUUUUUCUAUUUCAAAUUCACUUUCGAUCAAUCACAAUUCAAUUAAGAUUCACUUCCCACUUUCUAAUCAAUAUACAAUUCAAUACCAAUAUAUAUAUAUCAGAUAUUCACAUAUAAUCAUACUUUGAUUCAAUUCAAACCACUUUUCAAUCAAUAUAUAGUUUACAUAUCCACACAUAAUCAUAAUUUAAUUCACUUUUAUUCAAUUCAUAUUUUUAAUUCAUUUAAUUCAAUAUCAACAUUCACCUUAUUUUUAUUUACUAAACAUAUUAUUCAAAAUUCAACAAUAACUAUCAAUAAAUUCAAUACCAAUACGUGUGUGUGUAUAUAUAUAUUUAUUCAAUUCAAUCAUGAUACUUACCUCAAUUUGCUUAUCAUGUAUAUUAAUUUACAUUUCAACAAUUAAUAAUUAAAUUCGAAUUAUGGCAAUACUAACCGAAAUUUCUCUCGAGUCACUCCUUAUUCACCUUCUCCUUUCCUUUCUCGGACAAUGACUUUUGCAUGACAUUAGCUACGUAAUUAAACAAUUAAAAAUCAUUAAUACACAAUUUCAUCAAAAUAUUUCCAUUUAUACCUAAACUUUACCUAGAUUCUAAUUUAAUCCCUUAUCAAUACUAAUUUUAUUUUCCCAAUCUAAAUCCAUAUUUUCUCUUAAUUCUUACUAUAAACUCACUUUAACUCUUCAUUUUCAUCAUAAAUCCCUAAUUUCAAAAUUCUCUCAACUUAGUCCCUAUUAAUUCAAAACCCAUAAUUUAUUUUACAAAUAAACAAUUUACCAACUUCUAACUUGAAAUUCAAUCAAUUUAACCCCUAAUUCAUCAAUUAAUUCAACAUAAUCAAUGUCUAGAAAUCUAAUAACUUUCAAAUUUUCAACAUAAACCAUGAAAUAUUUUGUUCUAGAACUCCAAAAACUCAAAAAUUAUAAGAAAAUGACUUAAUUUGACUUAUCAGUUGAGCUUGGAACCUCAAAACCUUAAUUUUUCCUUUUCUUUCUUUCCUUCUUUCCCUCUCUGUUUCGUUUUGCCUAUUCUGUUUCAAUUCUCUUUUUCUAUCUUUAAUUGCUUUUGUUUUAUAGAUAUAAUAAUAUAAUAAUAUAAUUAAUAUAAUACUUAUUUAUUAAGUAAAUAAAUAUAAUAUAUAUUAACUAAAAUAUCUCAGAUAUUUCUUUCAUUAUGUCGCCUCAAUUUAGUCUGAUGGCAUAAUUGCCCAUUUGGUCAUUUUAACUUUUCUUUAAUCUAUAAUUAAACUUUUAUCUUUAUUACAAUUUUAUCCUUUUUCAUAAUUAACCUCAAUUUAGGCAAAUUCACUUAAUCAAAACCUAAUUAACUACACAACUAACUUCGUAAAUAUUUAUAAUAAAUAUUUACAAAUCCAAUUUACCGGGACGAAGUCCCGGGAAUACUUUUUUCAAUUCGAUCCUUUUUAAUCAAUUAACCAUUGAAACGUUAAAAUUUCUUAACGAAACUUUACUACUACCCUAUUAACACUCCGUAAAUAUUUAUAAAAAAAUUUACGGCUCAGUUUAUAAUAUCGAGGUCUCUAUACCUCGUUUUUGACCCAAUUUACCUAAUAAUUUCUUUUAAAUCACAAAAUUCACAAAUUUUAGAAAUAUUUCUAAAAUCACGCUUAACUUAUAAUUAUUAAUUAAUAAAAUUUUCUAACUUUUUUUAUCGAAUUUAGUGAUUUCAAAUCACUAUUCUGACACUACUGAAAAUUGGACUGUUACAACUCUUCCCCCCCUUAAAAACAUUUCGUCCUCAAAAUUUCUCACCUGAUACAAACUAUUAAGUCAAAUCUUUCUUCCACCCUUUCAAUCGAAGUCCCUAAAAAUUAAUUAUAACUCAUAUCACUUUCGAAAUCAUAUCAGAACUCAUUUUAGAACUUGAUACUAUACCUGAACUUAAUUGAGUAGCUUUGAUGUUCUCCUGUCAUUACUUUAUCAUUAGUAGUAUAACUACUGAGAAAUUUUCAGUAAUCGUCUGUCGAAACAUAAUUGAGAAACCCGAAUUAUCAAACUCUGACUGAUAUUUUUGACGUGGUUGCAUCUGUAACUUUCAACUGAUAUCUAUUUCCAUUUUCUUGAAAUGUGUCCAACAAUAUCAUUUUAUACCAAUGUGAUAACUUCAAAAAUCGGAACGAUUUCAACCCAUAAUAAUAUUUCCCUGAUUAGAACUGACCUAAUAAAAUAUAUUUCUGUAUCAAAUCUUCUAGAAUCUGAAUUUUUCAUUCUGACAAUCCAUCCAUUUACUCAUGAACGCACAAAAUUUAUUCUUGGACCUGAGAAUAGACUCAAAUACAUAACAACCAGUUGCCUACGGAUUAUCCUUCAUCCUUUAUCGCAGCAGAACCGUCUCCUGCAAUCUAUGAACCUGAACCUGAACCUGAACCAUCUUAUCUAAUACCUUCGAACGAAGACCUUGGAAACCCAUCCAACCAGAAGAAAGCAGAUAAUUUAAAUCCAUUGUGGAGACCCAAAAUGUACUGAUUCCAUCACUGAUUAUAUCUCAAUUAACUUUUCAAUGAAUAACCCACUCUGAUUAGAACUGAGUCGAUUUUAUCUUUCAGAUAAUAACAUUUCAGAAUAAUCUAUUUUUCUUGUUGUCAAAACAAUCCAAAUAUACCAUAUAUCAUAAUCCUCUUAGAACACCAACAGAAAAUUACCACAACUUGAGAAAUAAAAACCAACGUACAAAUUUGAGCUCAAUCUUCCACCUUCUACUCUUUUUCCGAUGUUAACCCUUUCACGGAAACUGGAAAAGAAUUAUAUAUAAUAAAGCUAUUUUAAUUAUAAUCAUCGAAGCUUUGAACUAUACCGAAGCCACAACCAUCAGAUAGAUUAAAAAUGAUAGAGCUAUAAUAGGGCUGACGUUCCAACCGUAUAGAUAGAACAAUACCUCAACAUCAAUAGUGCACUCCAAAAUAGAUGAAGAAAACUGAAAGUAGUCCCAAUAAAAACCAGUGCAGUAAUACAACUUCUAUAAUCUGAGAUCCAUAUCACCGAGCUCCCAUGAUCAAACCAAGAUUUAUAACAGUAAUAAAUAUAAUUACCUCCGGCCAAUGAAUAUCUUUUACGGAUGAACCAUGGUUAAUAAAUAAGAUUAGACCAUAAGAAUGAUAAGAAAACCGAGAUAAUAAAAUCCAAGAUGUGAAACUAUACUGAAUUUUCGAGAAUAAAAACCACAUUGAAUGAUAAAGAGAUCGAUGAUAUCCCAGAGAAAAUCCAAAAGAAAAAUAUCGUUCGUACACACCAGAAAUAGUUGUGAUAAAGACAAUAUAAAUUCCAUAUAUGUAAUUCAGAGCUUCAGCCAGUAGAAAUAGAAAAUAGCUUCAUUUGAGUCUUAUCAUCAAGUCUUCUAUCGAACAUAAUGGAUUAGGAAAUUGAAGAAAGAUAGAGGCAUCCUGAUCAUGAAUCAACCAGACUAAUAAUAAUUCUGUCUAACAUUAUGAUUAGCCAACCUUGCUAUAUGAUAAAAAUCACAUCUAAAAAUAAACAGUUGCAUAUACCUCUGAGGAUAAAACAACAUAUAAAAUAUCUAGAAGAGAUCAUUGUAAGAUACCCGACUAUAGUAGCUACAUUCAGAUAUGUUUACAAUUUUCAACACUAUCCCACUGACUACUAAAGUCAUUAAUAAUCUUACAUUAUCCCAAUCACUAAAGAAAUCAAUUCAGAAGAAAUUCCUAUUAAUCCGCUCUUUAAAUUUUAUACCUGAAUAAGUCGAUUACUCUUGAAUAACUUCUUUCUAAAUAGCGAAAUUGCGUAUCUCGAAUAAUCUUUUUUUAAAAAUUUGAUAUCUUUUCUAGAACUCUCUCUUUACUUGCUAUCCCAUCCUCAGCUCUGACCGCAUUAUUACAAUUAUUGAACUCUUCAGUUUCACACUUGUAAACUUAAUAAAUAUAAAUCUUGUAAAUUCCAUUGUAUAGGUGAGGGGGUGAAGGUCGUAAAGCCUAAAAAUUUAACUCUCAUAUAUAUACAAGUAUAACAUACCAUUUAUCAUUAACAUAAUCAUUAUAAUCAUUCGACAGUUUUAACUAUAAAACAUAAAUAAAUAUAUCAGCAUCCAAAUCCCGACUCAAUUUGACUCAAUUAUGGCAUGUACCUCUAGACUCAAUUUUCAAGCUCGAUUUAGUCUGAGAAUCAGCUAAACCUGCAAAGCCCUGACACCACUAAAUGUAACACCCCUUAACCCUAAACCGUUGUCGGAACAGAGUUACGGAGCAUUGCCGGAUAUAUUGGAUAACUUAUAACUAGUUCACAAAUAAAUAACAGAUAUAGCAUACUUGUAUCAAAUAUGUCAUAUUAGUUCCAUUUCAUACUUAUAACCAAUUUAAACAUCAUUCUACAACCACAAUCACAAAACUCUUAUACUUAACCUAUACAUCACUUAGGUACAUGUCACGUUAUCCAAAGAAAAGUACAUCACUAAAAUUUGUCUGAGAUCGGGAUUGUUCUGGAAGCUGGACCGGACACUGGCUUUCUACUAACCUGCGCACGGAAACAACCGUACGCUGAGUAUAGGUAUACUCAGUGGUAUUACCAUAAUUCAAAUUAAUAACAUUAAUCAAUAAAUUAUAUACAUUUAAUUUAUGUCUACAAUUAUUCAUUAAUUGUCUCAUACUUUAAAUCAACUUGAUCAUUAAUAACAAUAAGCAAUAUUUCAAUCUUAUAUUUAAUUGUAUCCAUACCUUAUUUCACUAUCUAAAUUUUAUUGGAUUUUUCAACAUCUCAUUCUAAAAACUCAUUCCAAUUCAUACAAAUUCAAUCAAUUUAUCAACUGAUUCAUUAUCAUUUCUAUUUAUAUUCAAUUUAUACUUUAAAUCUUUUAAUAAUCAAAUUAAACAUUUAAACCAACAUGUUUCAAUAAUAAUAAUAAUAAUAAUAAUAAUAACUAAUUUUAUGAAAUUGUAUUCAAAUUAACUCAUACACUAUUUCUUAAUUCAAUUUAUACCAUUACUCUUUCAAUAAACAUUUAAUACAUUAAAUCAACUUGUUUCAACAACAACAAUAACAAUAACUAUCUUUCAAUUCGAUUCGUUCAUUUAUAAUCAAUUUACACUUAUAAUCUUUUAACACUCAAUUUAUACAUUAAAUCCAUAAUUAAAUUUCAAUAACUUGUAUUCAAUUAAAUUCUCAUAUUAUUUCACUAUUUCAAAUCAUUUUGUUUUCACUUCUCAUUUUUCAACAAUAGCUAUUUCAGUUUGCUUUUCUCUACUUAUAUUUUUACAUCAUCUCAUACUACCAAAGCCAUUUCAUGAACUAUAUCAUUAUCUAGUUCUUGAACCCAUGGUUCAUACAUUUCAUUUCCAUAUCUCAAUUUAAUAUCUCAUUUCGAUUCAUAUUCAAGAUCAUUCAAUAAAAUUUAUAUUAUCAAAUUAUUCAUUUACCCCUAUUAACUUGACUCGGACUUUGGCGGAUACACGGAUCCAACCAAGCACACCAGAAUGAAACCCAGUGCCUCAUCGGAUAGUUCGAAGCAAUAAAAUGACACCCAGUGUCUCAUCGGCCAAGCCGAAGUAAGUUGGUACCCAAUACCUCAUCGAAUCUAUCCGAAGUAACAGUAUGACACCCAGUGUCUCACCGACUCAAGGUCGAAAUAUCCCUGAACUCUUUCCAAUCCUAUGGCAUGCCAACUAUAUCUGACUCAGCCCGACUAGUUAAUAGGGUAUUCAAAUCAUUUUUCUAUUUCAAAUUCACUUUCGAUCAGUCACAAUUCAAUUAAGAUUCACUUCUCACUUUCUAAUCAAUAUACAAUUCAAUACCAAUAUAUAUAUCAGAUAUUCACAUAUAAUCAUACUUCGAUUCAAUUCAAAUCAUUUUCAAUCAAUACACAGUUUAUAUAUCCACAAAUAAUCAUAAUUUAAUUCACUUUUAUUCAAUUCAUAUUUUUAAUUCAUUUAAUUCAAUAUCGACAUUCACCUUAUUUUUAUUUACUAAACAUAUUAUUCAAAAUUCAACAAUAACUAUCAAUAAAUUCAAUACCAAUACUGUAUAUAUAUAUUUAUUCAAUUCAAUCAUGAUACUUACCUCAAUUUGCUUAUCAUGCAUAUUAAUUUAAAUUUCAACAAUUAAUAAUUAAAUUCAAAUGAUGGUAAUACUAACCGAAAUUUCUGUCGAGUCACUCCUUGUUCACCUUCUCCUUUCCUUUCUCGGAUAACGACUCUUGCACGACAUUAGCUACGUAAUUAAACAAUAAAAAAUCAUUAAUACACAAUUUCAUCAAAAUAUUUCCAUUUAUACCUAAAAUUUACCUAGAUUCUAAUUUAAUCCCUUAUCAAUACUAAUUUUAUUUUCCCAAUCUAAAUCCAUAUUUUCUCUUAAUUCUUACUAUAAACUCACUUUAACUCUUCAUUUUCACCAUAAAUCCCUAAUUUCAAAAUUCUCUCAACUUAGUCCCUAUUAAUUCAAAACCCAUAAUUUAUUUUACAAAUCAACCUUUUACCAACUUCUAACUUGAAAUUCAAUCAAUGUAACCUCUAAUUCAUCAAUUAAUUCCACAUAAUCAAUGUCUAGAAAUCUAAUAACUUUCAAAUUUUCAACAUAAACCAUGAAAUAUUUUGUUCUAAAACUCCAAAAACUCAAAAAUUAUAAGAAAAGGACUUAAUUUGACUUACCAAUUGAGCUUGGAACCUCAAAACCUUAAUUUUUCCUUUUCUAUCUUUCUUUUCUUUCUUUCCUUCUUUCCCUCUCUGUUUCGUUUUCCCUAUUCU